UUUAGAUGCGACCGGCGCACGGGUGAGUAACACGUAUCCAACCUGCCGAUGACUCGGGGAUAGCCUUUCGAAAGAAAGAUUAAUACCCGAUGGCAUAGUUCUUCCGCAUGGUAGAACUAUUAAAGAAUUUCGGUCAUCGAUGGGGAUGCGUUCCAUUAGGUUGUUGGUGAGGUAACGGCUCACCAAGCCUUCGAUGGAUAGGGGUUCUGAGAGGAAGGUCCCCCACAUUGGAACUGAGACACGGUCCAAACUCCUACGGGAGGCAGCAUG
RNAcentral lists this ribosomal RNA (270 nucleotides) under uncultured bacterium. RNAcentral's name for it is "partial 16S ribosomal RNA". It matches the Rfam family "Bacterial small subunit ribosomal RNA", at positions 84 to 353 of the family's 1533-position model. The record is from RNAcentral.